ACAUCUUUCAACGGAUGUCAACAUCCGUUUAAGGAAAAACGGAUGUCGACAUCCGUUUUACCUUAAACAGAUGUUGACAUCCUUUGAAGAUGUCAA
Molecule: microRNA precursor, 96 nt
Filed under: Vigna angularis (adzuki bean)
Lineage: Eukaryota; Viridiplantae; Streptophyta; Magnoliopsida; Fabales; Fabaceae
Description: pre miRNA MIR158
Source: RNAcentral